CGGCCGCCAGAGCGCGCCGGAACCCGGCUCGCGGGGUCGGCCCGAGAGGCAGGAGGCAGGAGGGGAGAAGGGAAGGGAGCCAGGUGGGCGCUCGGCCCCAACUCCCCGGGCGCAGGAAGCCCAGACGAGGGGACUUCAUAUGCAAAAAGGGGGCAUGGCCAACAACUGGACCCUCUGGCCACCUGUCCUGCCUGCUGCGUGAUUCUUCCAAGGACCAACAGGCACUCAGGGUCACGCCCAUUUCCGGUGCAAUUGUUUGGGAAGAGAAUUUUGUUCACAGUAUGGUCUAUUCCUAAUCAUCAGCCCAAGACGCUCCUGCUGACUGGUGAUCGGAAGGCUCAUGUCUUCCUCACAGGUGGUCUCCUGACAUAAGCGAACAUCAGAUUUCACAACUCACCUUUGGGUGAGGCCAGCCUGUCCAACAAGAGAGAAUUUGCCUUUGCUUCUGUCAGCAGUCUGGAGUGCAACUAGUAUGUCAACAAUUUAAGGCAUUUUAUAAAAAGUAAAAAUUAAAGAUGCUGUGAACAGCGGUCAGAGAUUGGUAAACUGCAACAGCUGACCAGAUUUGGCCAGUGGCCUCUUUUGUAUAUGCCCUCCCACACCAAGAAUGGUUUUUACAGUUUUAAACGACUGUUUAAAGGGUGUUUAAAAACUCACACAAGAAUUAAACACUGGACUGUAGCCCAGUCCCUCCUCUAUCUCCCCCAUCACACAAUUGUUCUCCUGUUUGGUAGAGUUUUUAUUGCCACAUAGGCCAUCCUGUUUUCCUCUCUUUUGAAAAAAAAUUCAGGUACAAACUACCCCUCCAAUCAGGAGUCCCCAAGAUGGGCUGCCUUUUGGUUUUCAGAAGCUGCCAGUGGGUUUCUGUGUGUUGUGUUAUGAUAUCAAUGAUUUUUAAAAUUAUAUUGUUGUUCUUGUUUUUUUUAUAUGGUAUACUUAAAAGCCAGUAUCUCUUGUACUAUAAAUUUGCAGAAAAAGAUGCAUAAUGUACUUUUGUUUUUCCUUCUGUUGGA
Molecule: long non-coding RNA, 1013 nt
Organism: Dama dama (fallow deer)
Lineage: Eukaryota; Metazoa; Chordata; Mammalia; Artiodactyla; Cervidae
Exons: 3
Source: RefSeq, a predicted model, not a curated record